Molecule: ribosomal RNA, 468 nt
Filed under: uncultured bacterium
Lineage: Bacteria
Description: partial 16S ribosomal RNA
Rfam family: Bacterial small subunit ribosomal RNA
Source: RNAcentral
GACGAACGCUGGCGGCGUGCUUAACACGUGCAAGUCGAACGGAAAGGCCCUGCUUUUGUGGGGUGCUCGAGUGGCGAACGGGUGAGUAACACGUGAGUAACCUGCCCUUGACUUUGGGAUAGCUUCAGGAAACUGGGGCUAAUACCGGAUAGGAGCUCCUGCUGCAUGGUGGGGGUUGGAAAGUUUCGGCGGUUGGGGAUGGACUCGCGGCUUAUCAGCUUGUUGGUGGGGUAGUGGCUUACCAAGGCUUUGACGGGUAGCCGGCCUGAGAGGGUGACCGGCCACAUUGGGACUGAGAUACGGCCCAGACUCCUACGGGAGGCAGCAGUGGGGAAUAUUGCACAAUGGGCGGAAGCCUGAUGCAGCAACGCCGCGUGCGGGAUGACGGCCUUCGGGUUGUAAACCGCUUUCGCCUGUGACGAAGCGUGAGUGACGGUAAUGGGUAAAGAAGCACCGGCUAACUACGUG